UACGUAGGUGGCAAGCGUUAUCCGGAUUUACUGGGUGUAAAGGGCGUGUAGGCGGGGAAGCAAGUCAGAUGUGAAAACCACGGGCUCAACCUGUGGCCUGCAUUUGAAACUGUUUUUCUUGAGUGCUGGAGAGGCAAUCGGAAUUCCGUGUGUAGCGGUGAAAUGCGUAGAUAUACGGAGGAACACCAGUGGCGAAGGCGGAUUGCUGGACAGUAACUGACGCUGAAGCACGAAAGCGUGGGGAUCGAACAGG
This 253-nucleotide ribosomal RNA is filed under the name uncultured bacterium. Its description in RNAcentral is "partial 16S ribosomal RNA". It matches the Rfam family "Bacterial small subunit ribosomal RNA", at positions 524 to 776 of the family's 1533-position model. The record is from RNAcentral.